GCGAUUUCGCUCGCCGCUCUGAGCGGCGCUCCCCCCAACUCUGGUCAACGUCACGUCAACGUCACAGUUUAUUAUUCCCCGGUUAAAAAUGAAUGCUGUUAUCAACAGUAAUUCAGUUUUCGCUAUGGUCGUAGUUACACCUUGUUCGAAUUUCGUUCAUGUGAAAGUGGUAAUAAGCUAGUCGAGUUUCAUAUGAAUUUAGUGUGUAAAUCCUAAAUCGUUCGGUGUAACCCAAAAAAUUAUUUAAGAAAUAGCCGAUCACUGACGCAUUUCCCGGCAUUUCCCUUGUCAUUUUGUAAGUCAGCCUGGUCAAAGCGACAAACAAAAAAGUUACCCAUUCCUUUUCUCCUUGCCCAAGGGUUAUAUAGCCAAACAGAAGGUCUGAUAAUCUCAGUUUCUUGCUUGAUUUGGCAGCAGCCAGCCAGCCACGCAUUGAUUGCACUCGUUAGUUGCCAGGGCUGUUGUUUGAACUUAUUUCAAGAUACGUGUGCCACGAAGUGAAAAUAGUGAUUUAGCACGACUUCCUCAUGAAAAGAGAUGAAGCUAAAUUUAAUUGUGAUGUCCUCAAAACGGGAGCUGUGGGAUUGUCACCGUGCGCCACACGAUCCAGCCGCCGAAAUGAAGCAGAUGACGAAAUGACAUGGCAUCUAUAUUUCUCAGAUAUAAGUACACUAGCCCGCGAAUUUUCCGCUUGUAAUUGGCAAGUGACUAUAUUACUAAUAAAUCAUCAGUGAACCAAUUCGCCGUUCACGAAAAAUACAACAUCGUAACUCAGGAUAACGAUGUCGCCCUGCUGAUAAACCCAAACACUGACUAUUCCGUCCCUGCCAGAUGCAUUUAGAAGACAGCGACCGACUAGAGGUAAACAUCCAGGUGAGUCAGACGAGACGCA
Long non-coding RNA from Daphnia pulicaria, 892 nucleotides. RefSeq lists it as uncharacterized. The record is from RefSeq and is a predicted model, not a curated record. The transcript has 5 exons. Lineage: Eukaryota; Metazoa; Arthropoda; Branchiopoda; Diplostraca; Daphniidae.